Molecule: ribosomal RNA, 197 nt
Filed under: uncultured bacterium
Lineage: Bacteria
Description: partial 16S ribosomal RNA
Rfam family: Bacterial small subunit ribosomal RNA
Source: RNAcentral
ACUCCUACGGGAGGCAGCAGUGGGGAAUAUUGGACAAUGGGGCGCAAGCCUGAUCCAGCAAUGCCGCGUGUGUGAAGAAGGCCUGCGGGUUGUAAAGCACUUUUGUUCGGGAAGAAACGGAUCGGUUAAUACCCGGUUCGGAUGACGGUACCGAAAGAAUAAGCACCGGCUAACUUCGUGCCAGCAGCCGCGGUAAU